RNAcentral lists this ribosomal RNA (497 nucleotides) under uncultured bacterium. Its description in RNAcentral is "partial 16S ribosomal RNA". It matches the Rfam family "Bacterial small subunit ribosomal RNA", at positions 28 to 507 of the family's 1533-position model. The record is from RNAcentral.
GACGAACGCUGGCGGCGUGCUUAACACAUGCAAGUCGAGCGGACGGACGCGAUGCUUGUUUCUCUGAUGUUAGCGGCGGACGGGUGAGUAACAAGUGGAUAAUCACCUUCUCACUCUGGGAUAAUUACGGGAAGAAGGAGUUAAUAACACAGAAUAUUCUGAAUCGCUUGGUUGAUAAGUGAGAGACGGUCUUGCUGUCGCUUAUGGAUGGUUCCGCGCUGUAUUAGCUUGUUGGUAGGGUAACGGCUUACCAAGGCAGCGAUGCAUAGCCGCCCUGAGAGGGUGGUCGGCCACCCUGGAACUGAGACACGGUCCAGACUCCUACGGGAGGCGGCAGUAGGGAAUCUUCCGCAAUGGGCGGAGGCCUGACGGAGCAACGCCGCGUGAGGAAUGAAGGACUUCGGAUCGUAGAACACUGUUUUCGGGGAAGAACAUAGGUGUAAGUGUCUGUGCGCAGCUUGACGGUACCUAGUCAAAAAGCCACGGCUAACUACGUG